RNAcentral lists this ribosomal RNA (624 nucleotides) under uncultured bacterium. RNAcentral's name for it is "bacterial SSU rRNA". It matches the Rfam family "Bacterial small subunit ribosomal RNA", at positions 103 to 707 of the family's 1533-position model. The record is from RNAcentral.
CGGGUGAGUAACACGUGGGUGACCUGCCUUCGAGCGGGGGAUAACGUUCCGAAAGGGACGCUAAUACCGCAUGACAUCCUGCCUUUGAAGAGGCGGCGAUCAAAGCUGGGGAUCGCAAGACCUAGCACUCGAAGAGGGGCCCGCGUCCGAUUAGCUAGUUGGUGAGGUAACGGCUCACCAAGGCCACGAUCGGUAGCCGGCCUGAGAGGGCGGACGGCCACACUGGGACUGAGACACGGCCCAGACUCCUACGGGAGGCAGCAGUGGGGAAUUGUUCGCAAUGGGCGCAAGCCUGACGACGCAACGCCGCGUGGAGGAUGAAGAUCUUCGGGUCGUAAACUCCUUUCGAUCGAGACGAACGGCUCCUGGGCUAAUCACCAGGAGAGUGACGGUACCGAGAGAAGAAGCCCCGGCUAACUCCGUGCCAGCAGCCGCGGUAAUACGGGGGGGGCAAGCGUUGUUCGGAAUUACUGGGCGUAAAGGGCUCGUAGGCGGCCAACUAAGUCGGACGUGAAAUCCCUCGGCUUAACCGAGGAACUGCGUCCGAUACUGGAUGGCUUGAGUGUGGGAGAGGGAUGCGGAAUUCCAGGUGUAGCGGUGAAAUGCGUAGAUAUCUGGAGGAAC